AUGUUGUGUGCUGUUGCUCUGUUUCUGCCUCCAUCCAGGCUGAAUAUGAGUCAUCCGGGGCCUAAUGGAGGGAAUGUACACUCGUUCACCAACAGUGGUGCUUUUAACUCUGGGCCACAGGAUGCAGACCUGCAGAGCAGCUGUCCACGGCCACGGCCUCUGUCCCGUCCACAACCCCCCUCUGCUGCUCCUGUGUUCUACGUUCAUGCGCCAACUGCUCCUCCUCCACCUGCAUUCCACUAUCCGUGGCCACUUCCCAUGCCCUUAUUCUUUAACCCCCUUGAGGGCUUCCCCGGCAUGGGCUAUGGCAUUUUCAUGCCACCUUUCCCUCCCUACAUGGAGACUCCAGCCUACAUUAUGCCCCCCCCUCACGUCCAGCCCAUGGACUACAGACGGCUGCUCCACCCUCAGGCCCAUGUGCCUACGGCAGCUCACCAGAACACCAACCAGAUGAGGAGAACCCGCCCGCCUCGUGGUGCAUCUACAGAAACCGUGAACGCUGCGGUCCAGACAGAACUCACUGAAAGACACGCUAAUGAUUAUGGCGACCGAAGCCCACUUGUCCUUCCAGAUUCUGGACAUGGGACUACCUCUGUCUCUCCCUCUUCAAGCUCUAGUUCCAAAAGAAGAGACGCUGCUGAAGCCAAUGACUUUAAGAGUUUGGAACAAAAAGUGAGGAACCUGAUGAGCAGUAAUGGAGACGUGCAGAUUAAUGACGCUAGAACAAAAGUACCGCUCAAACCCAGCUUCAACGUUCAACAUCCUACUCGAUCUGUGGGUACAUCUAUCAGGGCAAUUCUGGACGAUCAGAAGAACCACAAAGAGGGUAGCGCUCAGACGAAUGAUGGUCACUGCAAAGUCUGGUCGAAGCUGCUGCCCUCAGAAAGUCCAAAUGCUCGUGAUAAGUGUGUGGACCAACUCCCAGGCGAGGAUGACUCUUUUGCCAAAGACUGUGAAUGUCUUUACAAAAUUCUGAAACUACCUUUAGUUCGGUCAAGAGAAGAUGCUCAUGAAAUGUCUUCAGGCAACUUCCAGACAAGAAAAAAGAUGGCUGAGGUGUCUCCAAGGGGACAUCUGGUGGACUGUGGCAUCCAGUGUGACCAAAUCCAGUGUUUCUGUGAGAAGAUCAGAAGCAGCAGAGGAACCUGCAGAAGGAAUCUACUCAGACCUUCAGGUGUGAAGUCAAACAAUGGUGGCAGCAAAGUAUUCUGCAUGAAUGGAUCUUCGCAGAAAAACCAGAAUAGUCCUGAAAACCUAACUGGGCAGCAGAUGUCACAUGAUGGGCUCCCUGGCCAAACUGGGAAAAGGGGUGAGCACGGCUCAACCGCUCUCCUUACAGUGGACAGAACUAGAAAUAGAUUCCCGUAAUUCCUGUUGAGGAAUUAUUUGCUUUAAUGUUAUAAAUUUGUGCAAGACAAAUGUGUGCUUAAACACUAAAUACAGAAAUUAGCCUUGAUGAAACUUUUCAUUCAGGAAAUCGCCAGAUUUCAUUGUUCAUUGCUAGUCUCAGGGUUUGGUUUUGCUUUGCUACUCGUCGGUGGAGGAAACCACAAAUGAGGAAAGACAUGAUUUUAUAUUGUCUAAUAAUAAAAUGAUCUAUUUUUUCA
This is a long non-coding RNA of Betta splendens (Siamese fighting fish), 1607 nucleotides long. Ensembl lists it as uncharacterized. The record is from Ensembl. NCBI's taxonomy places the organism in Eukaryota, Metazoa, Chordata, Actinopteri, Anabantiformes, Osphronemidae.